CCCCCCCAGCCUCAGCCCGGGGCCCCCGAGCCCCGCAGAGGAGCCGGGGAGCCCCGGACCCCGGGAAGCACCCGCCCCGCCCCGCCCCGCCCGUGCAGCUGGCCCCGACGCCCAAGGCCCGCGGGCCCCAGGGAGCUCAGCCGCCUGUUUCAACGAAAAGGGGGAGCGGAGGGGGGCGCGGAGCCGGGCUCCCACCUGCCGAGGCGACCCCGACCCCGACCCCGACCCCGCGGGUGUGGACAGAGCGAGGCGGUGGGUCGCAGCGCUGGAAGGUUCGGUGCGGAGCCAGCAGCAGGCGGGGCGUUUCGCGGGCAUCUCGCGGGCUCGGCCACCCACGCCCACGCCUUUCCGCCGCCACUGCGCAGGGCUCAGUCCAGUUCAAGAUGCUGAUGAAGUUCAGGGCUGGUGCUUGAAAGACAAUUGGGGUGCUUGAAAGAAGCUUUUCAAGUAGAAAAAAGUGUAUUUGAACAUAAAAGGAAAUGGUGACCCAGGGAACUUACGUGAAGCCAAUAUCAUCAGGCAGCCUGGCUCCAGGUCCAGAGCUGUCUCCUUCAUGAGUGUCAAGAGUGUUCUGUGUCUCUGGAAUCCUCAUCCAGGAUCAGCAAAAAGAACUGCUAUUGCAGUAGAGAAAAGCUGGAAGCCUGUCAUGCUAAAUGCUUCUCUGGAUUAUAGGCACUGCCGGUGACAUUCCACAUUCUCCAAAGGCGAUCAUUUCCUUUGUGUCAAGAAGAGUCAAGGUGACCCCCCACCACCACCACCAUCUUUUGAACUAAAUAGUUUAUUAUCAUCAUGUGAACUGCAUAAAUCUUACAUGGUCAGUCUGCUCUCAGUUGUUCAUGCAACUAAAGGCCGGAAGUACACGCCAAAUACCUUAAUAAAAAAUAAUCCACCUCUCA
Molecule: long non-coding RNA, 896 nt
Filed under: Vulpes vulpes (red fox)
Lineage: Eukaryota; Metazoa; Chordata; Mammalia; Carnivora; Canidae
Description: lncRNA (ENSVVUG00000001282.1)
Source: RNAcentral